CCCGAAAGAUCGAACGGGGAGAUUCAUCGUCAGCGGCGUCGGCUUCGUCGUGGCUCGCGAUGUCGCGUACCCUCGGGUACGCGGCACGCGGUCGCGGUCGUUUUAUGCCCGGUGUCGUAGGCGUGCACUUCUCCCCCAGUAGGACGUCGCGACCCGUUGGGCGUCGGCAAUAAGGCCCGUCUGGUUGACUGUCCCGGCGUACGCGCACGGGGCAGACCUUCGGUUGCCCGGCCGGCUGCCCGGCGGUACUCGUACGGUAUUUAGCCGCAACUUCGAACGUGCGCCCAGCCCGUCGCAAGCUCGGUCAGCGUUUCCCGGUGGUCGGACCUAGCGCCGUCCCCGGGCAUGACCAGUUGUUCGCAGACGGUGUCCUCGGGCUGGCUAGAAAAUCGAAUACCGGUCGGCGACGCUAUUGCUUUGGGUACUUUCA
Molecule: ribosomal RNA, 430 nt
Filed under: Cladomacra sp. 1 SS-2014
Lineage: Eukaryota; Metazoa; Arthropoda; Insecta; Hymenoptera; Pergidae
Description: eukaryotic LSU rRNA
Source: RNAcentral